This 21-nucleotide small nuclear RNA is filed under the name Arabidopsis thaliana (thale cress). RNAcentral describes it as "snRNA_15746". The record is from RNAcentral. Lineage: Eukaryota; Viridiplantae; Streptophyta; Magnoliopsida; Brassicales; Brassicaceae.
CGUCGCUGCCGUGAUCGUGGU